Molecule: long non-coding RNA, 702 nt
Filed under: Theobroma cacao (cacao)
Lineage: Eukaryota; Viridiplantae; Streptophyta; Magnoliopsida; Malvales; Malvaceae
Description: long non-coding RNA (TCAC_LNC004705)
Source: RNAcentral
CCCAUCCUGCUAAUUUUCAUUAGGAAAAAGUGUCAUCCACAAUGAUUUAGUGAAUCAUUCCAGAAUAUUUAAUGAAAAUAUUCUAGAUACUACAUAGUUGUAAACAUCAUUUUGUUUUCUCUUUUAGUGUCAAACCCCCAUCAUUUAAUGGGAAGGGAAAAAUCCGACCUGGGCUCCCAAAACUCUGCUGUCUGCAUUGGUCAACUGUAUUACCUGUUCCCCUUCAAGUCCCAGCUAAUGAUGGUACCUACCACUUUCCCCACCUAUCCUUAUGAUGAAGACGACUGAGGCAAAGAAACCAAUAAGAGAUUAAGAGAUGGGAUUAUUAAUAGAUUUGAAAGAUUUUUGAAGGAUAACAAACUACCUGCAAUUACCAACAGAUUAUGGCCCAGAGUAUCAGAAUAAUGAAAGCUGAUGUCACAGUUAGAAUUCUUAUACUCUUUAAGUUAUUGUUGUUCCCUCCCACCUCACAGUUAAAAGGGAAGAAUGAUGAUUUCAUGGUAAGUCAAUCUCCUCUUUAUGACUAUUAACUAUUAAGCAUACAAUGGCAACACCAGUUUAAGAUUGCAUCUGAUUCGGAUUACACCACUAGCUUUUAUUUAUUGCUUGAACUAUUCUUAAGACUCAAAAAACACCAGAAGUAGAAUCAACACUUUCUACCUGACUAUAUUUAUUGCCGCCUGGCCUUUCAACAACUCUAGG